RNAcentral lists this ribosomal RNA (389 nucleotides) under Heterospilus sp. MAS-2010. Its description in RNAcentral is "eukaryotic LSU rRNA". The record is from RNAcentral. Lineage: Eukaryota; Metazoa; Arthropoda; Insecta; Hymenoptera; Braconidae.
UCGAAUGGGGAGAUUCAUCGUCAGCUCAUUUUGUAUAUGUAUGAGUUAUGAUGCGAGUUACUANUUNUUGUAUUGCUUGUACAUACUUAUACAUUUAUUUGCAAGAUGUUGUCGGCGUGCACUUCUCCCCUAGUAGAACGUCGCGACCCGUUGGGUGUCGGUCUACGACCCGAGUNGGUAGACUUNUAAUAUUUUNCUAAUAUUGAAGACCCUUGGUGUUUUCUGACCGGCUGCCCGGCGGUACUCGUACGGUAUUUAGCCGCAAUUUNUNUUGCGUCCAUGUCCAUCGCAAGCGAGGCUAAUUUCUGAUAGUACGGACCUAGUGCCGUCGUUGGGAUUGGCCAGCUGUUGGUUGUAUGGAAUUCUAGGACUGGCUAAAAUAAUUACCG